This 500-nucleotide ribosomal RNA is filed under the name uncultured bacterium. RNAcentral describes it as "partial 16S ribosomal RNA". It matches the Rfam family "Bacterial small subunit ribosomal RNA", at positions 30 to 523 of the family's 1533-position model. The record is from RNAcentral.
AUUGAACGCUGGCGGCAUGCCUUACACAUGCAAGUCGAACGGCAGCGCGGGAGCAAUCCUGGUGGCGAGUGGCGAACGGGUGAGUAAUAUAUCGGAACGUGCCCAGUCGUGGGGGAUAACGCAGCGAAAGCUGUGCUAAUACCGCAUACGAUCUACGGAUGAAAGCGGGGGAUCGCAAGACCUCGCGCGAUUGGAGCGGCCGAUAUCAGAUUAGCUAGUUGGUGAGGUAAAGGCUCACCAAGGCGACGAUCUGUAGCUGGUCUGAGAGGACGACCAGCCACACUGGAACUGAGACACGGUCCAGACUCCUACGGGAGGCAGCAGUGGGGAAUUUUGGACAAUGGGCGAAAGCCUGAUCCAGCAAUGCCGCGUGCAGGAAGAAGGCCUUCGGGUUGUAAACUGCUUUUGUACGGAGCGAAAAGGUCUCCUCUAAUACAGGGGGCUCAUGACGGUACCGUAAGAAUAAGCACCGGCUAACUACGUGCCAGCAGCCGCGGUAA